AUAUACUAAGGCGAAGAGCUAAUAGCUUGUUAAGGAACUCGGCAAGUUCUCCUCAUAAGUUUGACAAUAAGAGGAACCACUUAAAAAUAUUUAUGGUGGUGUCACAAAAUCGGAGGCCACGACUGUUUACUAAAAACGCAAUUCAGAGCACUGAUGAGAAUCAUAGUAUUCUGGAUGAAAUUUGCCCGAUGCCAUUAACAUAAAAGAGGUAAUGGGAAACUGUUACUAAUUGAAAGUCUGGUUAAUAGCGGUCUUAACUAUGAGGAUCCUAAGGUAGCAAAAUCAGUUGGCCAUUAAAUGUGGUCUGGUAUCAAUAGUGUAACGAUGGUCUCACUGUCUCUACAACUUGCUCAGUGAAAUUGAAUUAUCCGUGCAGAUGCGGAUUGCCUCCAGGUGGACGGGAGACCCUAUGCAGC
RNAcentral lists this ribosomal RNA (416 nucleotides) under uncultured Basidiomycota. Its description in RNAcentral is "LSU rRNA". It matches the Rfam family "Bacterial large subunit ribosomal RNA", at positions 1676 to 2099 of the family's 2925-position model. Lineage: Eukaryota; Fungi; Basidiomycota. The record is from RNAcentral.